RNAcentral lists this long non-coding RNA (331 nucleotides) under Arabidopsis thaliana (thale cress). RNAcentral's name for it is "long non-coding RNA (ATHA_LNC000578)". The record is from RNAcentral. Lineage: Eukaryota; Viridiplantae; Streptophyta; Magnoliopsida; Brassicales; Brassicaceae.
UGGGAAAGAGAUUGUUGAUCUGUGCUUGGACCGUAUCAGAAAGCUCGCUGAUAACUGUACUGGUCUCCAAGGAUUCCUCGUCUUCAACGCUGUUGGUGGAGGGACUGGAUCUGGUCUUGGAUCUCUCCUCCUUGAGAGACUUUCUGUUGACUACGGGAAAAAGUCCAAGUUGGGUUUCACAGUUUACCCAUCUCCACAGGUCUCCACCUCUGUUGUUGAGCCUUACAACAGUGUCCUCUCCACUCACUCACUCUUGGAACACACUGAUGUCUCUAUCCUCCUCGACAAUGAAGCUAUCUAUGACAUCUGCAGACGUUCCCUAAGCAUUGAG